UCAAAGGCUCUUUUCAGAGCCACCCACUUAUUAUGGAAAGCGCUG
This is a non-coding RNA of Equus caballus (horse), 45 nucleotides long. NCBI's taxonomy places the organism in Eukaryota, Metazoa, Chordata, Mammalia, Perissodactyla, Equidae. The record is from Rfam.